Lolium rigidum is the source of this 79-nucleotide small nucleolar RNA. RefSeq annotates it as small nucleolar RNA U54. The record is from RefSeq and is a predicted model, not a curated record. NCBI's taxonomy places the organism in Eukaryota, Viridiplantae, Streptophyta, Magnoliopsida, Poales, Poaceae. The transcript has a single exon.
ACCUCAGUGAUUAGAGCCAUAUGCAUUGGCAAUAUACGCUAUACUGACCUAUUUUGAUGAGAAAUUGAAUAUGAGAGUU